This is a long non-coding RNA of Gymnodraco acuticeps, 1380 nucleotides long. RefSeq lists it as uncharacterized. The transcript has 2 exons. The record is from RefSeq and is a predicted model, not a curated record. NCBI's taxonomy places the organism in Eukaryota, Metazoa, Chordata, Actinopteri, Perciformes, Bathydraconidae.
GGGGGGUGUAUCAGUGUGAGUGAUCACAGACUGGAGAGGGAAUGUUUAUCUAAAGCAGCAAUCCCAUUUUCCAUGAUCCCAAACAGAAAGGCUGGCUCAGGCCUUAUAUGGGCAGGCUGGAGUCUCUCCCUGGCUCUCUGAUGAUACGGAGGAUAACAGUGGGACUGCACAUCAAGCUUACAGCCAAUGAGAGCACUGCAGUUUAUUUAAACAUGUGUAAAUAUCUUCCAUCAGGUGUUGAGACUAUGGAUACUGGACAUUCUGCAGUCUGCACAGAGGGUAAGAGACCCUCUUCAGGACCCUACACAGAGAUGGGGUCUGUACUUUAGACCGACGUGGUUCCAGAGAGAAGAGUUCCCAUGUCCGAGGAAACAGGGAGGUGAGUAGUGUGUGUGUGUGUGUGUGUGUGUGUGUCUGUGUGGUGCUUUCUGUGAUCUGAUUGGUCACGUUGGUCCUCUGUUAACUCUUGUACUUCAUGAUGCUUAGAGAAGUCUCUUGAUUCUGCUGUAACUGUAACAGACUGUGCGAACGGUGUCGAAGUGAAAUCAGUAUAGAGACAUUAGAAUCAGAAACAGGUUGAUUGGCGAGUAGGUUUACACAGACGAGGAAUUUGUCUUGGUGUACAUGGUUCAUACAUAAACACAGUGAAACAUGGCUUCUUCUUCUUCUUCUGUCUGUCCUCCAGCUGACUUCGUGCUCUUCCCUGCGGCCCAGGGUGCAGUGCUGCAUCUCCGGUCAGCUGGUAGUCUGAGAUGAAGCACUGUAGCUCGGGACGGAGGACCCAAACAGCGGGUUGAUCAAUGUCAGGAUGUGGUUUCUGUUUACAUCCAGACCUUAAAAUAAGUUGAGGAAAUGGGACAAAUGUGAACGUUUUUCACCUUCCUAUAUACUGUAAAUAUUUGUAUUAUAUGUAAUAUAUUGUAUUAAUAUGUUUUCUUUAAAUAAUUGAAUAAAUAACUUAAAGUAAGCAUGCUAAACCUGUAAUAUUUCAGACAUCCGUAGUUAAGGAGUUUAAAGGACGAUGAUUCCGUCUGCUCGUGUAUGGAGCCCAGCUUCACGGCUGGGGGGGGCAGAUCCUGAGCUGAUGUGAGGAGGGGGGCUCUCUGUCUUUCUCCCCUCUCCCGGGGUCCAGUUUUCCCAGGAAUCCCUUGACCUAUCAGAAAGUGGGAUUCCUGGAAAUACUGUUCUUGGGGGCGGGGCUUUUCAUCCCUUCCAUAUAAAGGGUGUCGUGUAGGGGGAGUGAUCAUGUUAUGGGUUUAUGUUGAAGUAGUUUGACUGUUUUUUGUGUUUACAAAUGAAAGCAACUAUUGGUGGAAUGGAGCCACAUUGUGAACAUUGUCAUAACUGCUGGGGAUUCAAUAAACAUUACAAUCCAAGAAA